Molecule: ribosomal RNA, 406 nt
Filed under: uncultured bacterium
Lineage: Bacteria
Description: partial 16S ribosomal RNA
Rfam family: Bacterial small subunit ribosomal RNA
Source: RNAcentral
AUUGAACGCUGGCGGCCGGCCUAACACAUGCAAGUCGAACGAGUGGCGGACGGGUGAGUAAUGUCUGGGAAACUGCCCGAUGGAGGGGGAUAACUACUGGAAACGGUAGCUAAUACCGCAUACCAUCGGAUGUGCCCAGAUGGGAUUAGCUAGUAGGUGGGGUAAAGGCUAACCUAGGCGACGAUCCCUAGCUAGUCUGAGAGGAUGACCAGCCACACUGGAACGGAGACACGGUCCAGACUCCUACGGGAGGCAGCAGUGGGGAAUAUUGCACAAUGGGCGCAAGCCUGAUGCAUCCAUGCCGCGUGGGUGAAGAAGGCCUUCGGGUUGUAAAGCACUUUCAGCGGGGAGGCGUUACCCGCAGAAGAAGCACCGGCUAACUCCGUGCCAGCAGCGGCGGUAAUAC